GACGAACGCUGGCGGCGUGCUUAACACAUGCAAGUCGAACGGAAAGGCCCCCUUGUGGGGUACUCGAGUGGCGAACGGGUGAGUAACACGUGAGUAACCUACCCUUGACUUUGGGUUAACUUCAGGAAACUGGGGCUAAUACCGGAUAGGAGCUCCUGCUGCAUGGUGGGGGUUGGAAAGUUUCGGCGGUUGGGGAUGGACUCGCGGCUUAUCAGCUUGUUGGUGGGGUAGUGGCUCACCAAGGCUUUGACGGGUAGCCGGCCUGAGAGGGUGACCGGCCACAUUGGGACUGAGAUACGGCCCAGACUCCUACGGGAGGCAGCAGUGGGGAAUAUUGCACAAUGGGCGGAAGCCUGAUGCAGCAACGCCGCGUGCGGGAUGACGGCCUUCGGGUUGUAAACCGCUUUCGCCUGUGACGAAGCGUGAGUGACGGUAAUGGGUAAAGAAGCACCGGCUAACUACGUG
Molecule: ribosomal RNA, 465 nt
Filed under: uncultured bacterium
Lineage: Bacteria
Description: partial 16S ribosomal RNA
Rfam family: Bacterial small subunit ribosomal RNA
Source: RNAcentral